RNAcentral lists this ribosomal RNA (1557 nucleotides) under Enterococcus faecium. Its description in RNAcentral is "bacterial SSU rRNA". It matches the Rfam family "Bacterial small subunit ribosomal RNA". The record is from RNAcentral. Lineage: Bacteria; Bacillati; Bacillota; Bacilli; Lactobacillales; Enterococcaceae.
AGAGUUUGAUCCUGGCUCAGGACGAACGCUGGCGGCGUGCCUAAUACAUGCAAGUCGAACGCUUCUUUUUCCACCGGAGCUUGCUCCACCGGAAAAAGAGGAGUGGCGAACGGGUGAGUAACACGUGGGUAACCUGCCCAUCAGAAGGGGAUAACACUUGGAAACAGGUGCUAAUACCGUAUAACAAUCGAAACCGCAUGGUUUUGAUUUGAAAGGCGCUUUCGGGUGUCGCUGAUGGAUGGACCCGCGGUGCAUUAGCUAGUUGGUGAGGUAACGGCUCACCAAGGCCACGAUGCAUAGCCGACCUGAGAGGGUGAUCGGCCACAUUGGGACUGAGACACGGCCCAAACUCCUACGGGAGGCAGCAGUAGGGAAUCUUCGGCAAUGGACGAAAGUCUGACCGAGCAACGCCGCGUGAGUGAAGAAGGUUUUCGGAUCGUAAAACUCUGUUGUUAGAGAAGAACAAGGAUGAGAGUAACUGUUCAUCCCUUGACGGUAUCUAACCAGAAAGCCACGGCUAACUACGUGCCAGCAGCCGCGGUAAUACGUAGGUGGCAAGCGUUGUCCGGAUUUAUUGGGCGUAAAGCGAGCGCAGGCGGUUUCUUAAGUCUGAUGUGAAAGCCCCCGGCUCAACCGGGGAGGGUCAUUGGAAACUGGGAGACUUGAGUGCAGAAGAGGAGAGUGGAAUUCCAUGUGUAGCGGUGAAAUGCGUAGAUAUAUGGAGGAACACCAGUGGCGAAGGCGGCUCUCUGGUCUGUAACUGACGCUGAGGCUCGAAAGCGUGGGGAGCAAACAGGAUUAGAUACCCUGGUAGUCCACGCCGUAAACGAUGAGUGCUAAGUGUUGGAGGGUUUCCGCCCUUCAGUGCUGCAGCUAACGCAUUAAGCACUCCGCCUGGGGAGUACGACCGCAAGGUUGAAACUCAAAGGAAUUGACGGGGGCCCGCACAAGCGGUGGAGCAUGUGGUUUAAUUCGAAGCAACGCGAAGAACCUUACCAGGUCUUGACAUCCUUUGACCACUCUAGAGAUAGAGCUUCCCCUUCGGGGGCAAAGUGACAGGUGGUGCAUGGUUGUCGUCAGCUCGUGUCGUGAGAUGUUGGGUUAAGUCCCGCAACGAGCGCAACCCUUAUUGUUAGUUGCCAUCAUUCAGUUGGGCACUCUAGCAAGACUGCCGGUGACAAACCGGAGGAAGGUGGGGAUGACGUCAAAUCAUCAUGCCCCUUAUGACCUGGGCUACACACGUGCUACAAUGGGAAGUACAACGAGUNNNNNNNNNNGCGAAGUCGCGAGGCUAAGCUAAUCUCUUAAAGCUUCUCUCAGUUCGGAUUGCAGGCUGCAACUCGCCUGCAUGAAGCCGGAAUCGCUAGUAAUCGCGGAUCAGCACGCCGCGGUGAAUACGUUCCCGGGCCUUGUACACACCGCCCGUCACACCACGAGAGUUUGUAACACCCGAAGUCGGUGAGGUAACCUUUUGGAGCCAGCCGCCUAAGGUGGGAUAGAUGAUUGGGGUGAAGUCGUAACAAGGUAGCCGUAUCGGAAGGUGCGGCUGGAUCACCU